Molecule: ribosomal RNA, 3417 nt
Filed under: Triticum aestivum (bread wheat)
Lineage: Eukaryota; Viridiplantae; Streptophyta; Magnoliopsida; Poales; Poaceae
Description: partial small subunit ribosomal RNA
Source: RNAcentral
AUGUCUGACACCGCAAAGGCGAAGUCGCCGUCUGUGCAGGAGGAUGAGGAGACUGGGGAUUCCACUGAGGACGAGGACUGGAAGAAGGGCGCUGCUCCGGAGGAUGAUUCUGAGGAGGAAGUGGAGUUGGAUGACGAAGAGGAAGAGGUUGUUGCGGUCAGUUCGCGAAAGGGGAAAUCAAGGAACUCCUUGUCCACGUCAGCUUCAGUGUCCACACUGCGGUCAACGUCUGGUCUUGGCUCAGCAUCGUCAGGGUCAACGUUGUCAAAGAAGAGGAAACAAGUGGAUGUGGGUGCAUUGGAUUGUGCUAAGAAGUUCAGCUUUCAACUAGCUAACACCCCUGAAAAGGCUGAAAUGAAGGUGCCACCGAGCUGUGAUAGGAGAGAGAGAAUUUUAGAGAAUGCUCACCUUGCUCUUACUGGAGACCUGUCUGAGCGCUUUGGAAGUCGGCAGACGGAGAAGUUCACAUUCCUUGGGCAGGGGCGCAAAGAUGCAAAAGGGAGACGACCUGGAGACCCAGCCUAUGAUCCAAGAACUCUCUUCUUGCCUUCCCAGUUCUUGAAGAACUUGACAGGUGGACAGAGGCAAUGGUGGGAAUUUAAAUCCCAGCACAUGGAUAAGGUCCUGUUCUUCAAGAUGGGCAAAUUCUACGAAUUGUAUGAGAUGGAUGCUCAUGUUGGGGCCAAGGAGCUUGAUCUUCAAUACAUGAAGGGUGACCAACCUCACUGUGGCUUCCCAGAGAAGAAUUUAGCAGUGAAUUUGGAGAAACUAGCUCAGAAGGGUUAUCGCGUUCUGGUUGUAGAGCAGACCGAGACACCGGACCAGCUUGAACUUCGCCGUAGAGAGACGGGUACAAAAGACAAGGUUGUGAGGCGUGAAAUAUGUGCAAUGGUCACAAAAGGAACACUGACAGAAGGAGAAUCACUUCUGGCGAAUCCAGAUCCGUCAUACAUCUUGUCCGUGGCUGAAAGUUAUCCAUGUAGUUCAACAAACAGUCAAGAUGGUCAUACAAUUGGUGUUUGUAUAAUUGAUGUUUCUACAAGCAAAUUCAUCAUUGGACAGUUCCAAGAUGACCCUGAACGUCAUGUGCUAUGUUCCAUUUUGUCUGAAAUACGACCUGUGGAAAUCAUAAAGCCAGCUAAGAUGCUGAGUGCAGAAACUGAGAGGGCACUGAAAAAUAAUACAAGAGACCCUUUGAUAAAUGGUUUGCUUCCAUCUACGGAAUUUUGGGAUGCAGAGAAAACUAUUCAUGCCAUCGAGCAAUACUACAGCUCAUCAGAUAAUCUCACUGCAUCACGAAACACUGUUGGAGUACAAAACAAUGUGGGCUGUCUGCCUGACCUAUUAAGUGAGCUAAUUGAAGCUGGUGAUCGAGUGUAUGCGCUUUCUGCUCUUGGAGGUUCUUUGUUUUACUUAAAGCAAGUCCUUCUGGAUGACAAAUUGCUUCCAUGUGCUGAAUUUGAGCCCCUGACAUGCUCGGGGCUCAUCAACAAUAUGCGGAAGCAUAUGAUACUCGAUGCGGCCGCACUUGAAAAUUUGGAGAUCCUAGAGAAUGCAACUGGUGGUCUCUCAGGGACCUUGUAUGAACAAUUGAAUCAUUGUGUUACUGGAUUUGGGAAAAGGAUGCUCAAACGGUGGAUUGUAAGGCCUUUGUACGAUUGCAAAGCAAUACAACAGCGUCAAGGUGCCAUUGCUAUUUUCAAGGGAGUUGGGCAUGAAUGUGCUAUGCAGUUCCGUAAAGAUUUAUGUAGGCUUCCAGACAUGGAGCGUCUGCUUGCACACCUUUUCUCUAGAUGUGGUGAAAAUGGGAGAUCUAAGUCAGUUGUUCUAUAUGAAGACACAGCAAAGAGACUGCUCAAGCAGUUCACUGCCGCCCUUCGUGGUUGCCAGCAAAUGUUUCAGGCAUGUUCUUCUAUUAGGGUGUUGACAGGCACAGAGGGGUCUUCUCUACUAAAUGAUUUGCUUUCACCAGGCAAAGGGUUACCAGAUGUGUCAUCUAUUUUAGAUUACUUCAGGGAUGCAUUUGAUUGGUCAGAAGCUGAUCAUAAUGGUCGGAUCAUACCUCUUGAAGGUUGUGAUCCUGAAUAUGAUGCCACUUCCUGUGCCAUAGAGGAGAUCGAAUCCAGUCUGCAGGAGUACCUGAAGGAGCAAAGAAAGCUACUGAAGGAUUCAUCGGUUAAGUAUGUAAAUGUUGGAAAGGAUACUUACCUUAUUGAAGUGUCUGAGAGCCUGAGGGGUUCUGUUCCUAAUGACUAUGAGUUGCAGUCUACAAAAAAGGGUGUCUGUCGGUACUGGACACCAGAAGUAAAACAACUAAUAUCAGAACUUUCUAAGGUUGCAACAGAUAAAGAAUCAAUAUUGAAAGGCAUUCUUCAGAAACUGAUUCAUCUCUUUAUUGAGCAUCACAGCAAGUGGAGACAGUUGGUGUCUGUAGCUGCUGAGAUUGAUGUUUUGGUUAGUCUUUCUAUUGCGGGUGAUUAUUUUGAGGGACCAACAUGCUGUCCAACUAUCAGAGAAUUGUGUGGUCCAGAUGAUACUCCUACUUUCCAUGCAAGAAAUCUUGGGCAUCCCAUUAUUCGAAGUGAUUCGUUAGGCAAGGGUUCAUUUGUACCAAAUAACAUUAACAUGGGUGGGCCAGGAAAUGCCAGCUUUAUUGUUCUUACUGGUCCAAAUAUGGGUGGUAAAUCAACUCUCCUGCGUCAAGUUUGUCUUACCAUAAUAUUGGCACAGAUUGGAGCAGAUGUUCCGGCGGAAAACCUUGAGCUUUCUCUUGUUGACCGUAUCUUUGUUCGCAUGGGAGCAAGGGAUCAUAUUAUGGCUGGAAAAAGUACAUUCUUGGUGGAGCUCAUGGAGACUGCUUCCGUGCUUUCGUCAGCUACCAAGAAUUCUCUUGUGGCUUUAGAUGAGCUUGGGCGGGGCACAUCGACUUCUGAUGGACAAGCUAUUGCGGCAUCUGUUCUAGAUUAUCUAGUUCAGCGUGUGCAGUGUCUAGGCUUGUUUUCUACCCACUACCAUAAGUUAGCAGUGGAACAUGAGGAUGACAAGGUAUCACUUUGCCAUAUGGCAUGCCAAGUAGGCACUGGAGAAGGAGGUUUGGAAGAGGUGACUUUCCUUUACAGAUUAACAGCUGGUUCAUGUCCCAAAAGCUAUGGCGUGAAUGUUGCUCGAUUAGCAGGAAUACCUGCGUCAGUGCUUCAAAGGGCUAAUGAGAAGUCAAUUGACUUUGAGGCUAGUUAUGGGAAACGCUGCUGUGCAACUAAAGAUAAGGCGAUCUGUACACAGGAGGAUAACUUUACUACCAUUAAGGAUUUGUUCCGUGUUGUGAAGGCAGGGAAUCAUCAAGGAGAUCAGGCAACAAGCUUAAGCAGGAUUCGUGAAGUACAGAUGCGUGCCAGGGCGCAAGCUAUGGAAGCAUAG